GUUUCCUUCUUGAUCCUUCACAAGGGAAGAUUUUCUUUUUUAGAGGUACAGAUUCCUCUUAGUCAAGUCCUGAUUAAAACUCCAGCUAAGACAUUAGUAAGCCUUGGUUAGUGAAGUGGCAUCAGGAAGUGCCUACAUUUUCAUGGCCUGGUAGCGUUCAGUGAAAAUGUUCAUUAACAGACACAGGCCAUUCAGUCCCGAAUCCCAAGACACUGAAGACUCUGUUUGAAUCAGACUCACGGGUUCCUUCCUAGCCACUCUCAGGGACAGGAAUGCUUCUGGUGAAGAAGUUUUCGGUGGUGGUUCAUGGAGCUUCCCUACACCAACUUGGAAAUGGCAUUCAUUUUAUUGGCUUUUGUUAUCUUUUCCUUAUUUACCCUGGCUUCCAUCUACACUACUCCGGAUGACAGUAAUGAAGAGGAAGAACAUGAAAAAAAGGGAAGGGAAAAGAAAAGGAAAAAGUCUGAAAAGAAGAAAAAUUGCUCAGAGGAAGAGCACAGAAUUGAAGCUGUUGAGCUAUGAUCUCAUAGCCACCGAUAUUUCUCGCUAAGAAGACAGAGGAAGCAAUCCAUGGGAACUACUUAUCCACAGUUACACAAGAGGAGGGGAUAAUGAAGAAAGUUAAAAUCACUUACUGAUUAAACACGAUGAUAAUAACCAUUAAUGAACUCAAUACUCGGGAAAGGCUUCACAUUUCUGGGACUCAGCAUUAUCCAAAAUAUCUAUUAAGAGCCAUACACCAUUCUAGCUGCAAUUGAUUAUACAAAAAAAAAAAGACCAAAGUGGUUACAAUAAUAAAAUAGAACACAGAGAAAGAAGAAAACUACAUGUGUUACAAUUUGCUCUAAGUCCUUGUGGAAAAAGAUAUUAAAGUACAAGGAAAAGACCAUAAGUCUUGCAGGAAGUAAAAACAUGAAGAGAAAAAUGUGGAGAGACAAGUAAACUGCGUUUUUCCGCAGUCUCAGAAUUUAUCCCGCUCUGUGUAACCCAGAAGUGACUGUGAAGGCGCAACCUGUGUAUGUAGCCUGGACCCCACAUGCUCUGCUACUGAGCUUGAGUCAUUAAUCUUCUGGCCACCGAUUUUUCUCUCAAAAAUUACAUGAGCUUCCUCCAUCAAUAAAUAUCUUCAGUGCUCUAUCCAUUAAUUUCCCAUCCACUGAAUAAAGGUUACAACAACUAUUCAUGAGGUUAGGUUUGUUUAAAAAUACAGUUUACAUCAAUUAAGUGGGGUACAUUAGGGAAUUAGAAGGAGAACAGAGAAGGCAGCAGUGAGUGCUUCCAACCCAACUUCAGGGGCUGGGACAAGGUGAAAUUACAGAGAUCACAAACUGAAGAUACUAAACAGGAAUGAAAGGGGCUGGUCUCACAUGUAUCACAGCCUACCAUUUCCAGAGACACAGCUCUCAGGUUCCAAAGGGACUAGUUGACAUCAAUUGCAAGAUGGUUUUCUAGAUCCCACAGCCUUUCUCAACAACAGUUUACAAGAGAAUUAGCCAUACAAAAAAU
RNAcentral lists this long non-coding RNA (1506 nucleotides) under Homo sapiens (human). RNAcentral's name for it is "HSALNT0323258". Lineage: Eukaryota; Metazoa; Chordata; Mammalia; Primates; Hominidae. The record is from RNAcentral.